This is a long non-coding RNA of Oncorhynchus tshawytscha (Chinook salmon), 1165 nucleotides long. Lineage: Eukaryota; Metazoa; Chordata; Actinopteri; Salmoniformes; Salmonidae. The record is from Ensembl.
UACUGGUAAAAUGGCUGUCAAUGGUCUCUGAUCUUCUGUUACUCAAUAGCUUGAUCAUUCUGUGUUCUCCAAGGAACAUAUCAUUUAUUCUUAUUAAUCUGGCUAGUAUGACAAUGUAAAUGAUGUCAAUCUGGCAUGAAAAACCUUAGCAUUUAUAUUUAUCUCGUGAGAAGGACAAUGUUGGUUCAGUGUGUGUGUGUUUGUGUGUAUAUGUAUGCCUAUACGCCAUGAAAGUGACUCGCUACUACAUCAUUCUUCCGGAGUCAGUCCCCUAAUUAUUUUGAAUGGGCUUGGCGAUUAUAUAUUACAUUUGUAAAAAUGCAGUUGUUUAAAAUAUAUAUUUAUCAGAAUAUAUUUGUGAUUGUGGCUGUAUUUAAUCAUGCCAGAUGCCUUUUAAUAUAAUGUUGCACUGACGAACAUUGCGCUACAUUUUUGCCCUUUUAAGGCCAUUCAAAAAGCAAACAAACAUUAGAUAACUACAGGGCUACUUCCUUGAAAAUGUUGCUGCACUUUCGAUGCAAGGUAACACAACCAUUGGAACAAUGUGUUGUUGUUUCGUAAACUCCAUGUUCAGUUGGAAGAGAGCACGGACGGCCAGCGAUCAAGCGUCAGGGUCAUAUACACCACAAGUCUCUGUGGCGCAAUUGGUUAGUGCGUUAGACUGUUAAUCUAAAGGUUGGUGGUUCGAGGCCACCCAGGGAUGACAGUGUGUUGUGCUCCAUGAUGUGGAUGUGACAUCCUGGACCUCUAAUGAAAUUUUCAGUUCUUUUGGCCUGCUGAGGGUCAAUGCCAACACAGGCCUCUCAAGUGCAACCAAACAGUUAGCUUGUUUGACUGUCAAUCUCAAGUUUGGAGCUUCGACACCACCCAGGGAUGACAUUUUUCAGAUUGUAGAGAUGUGAACUGACCCUUCCUGACUUGUUGUGAGCUUCCACGAGACUAUGGCCUGCUGAGGGUCAGUAUAACCACAAGUCUCUUUGGUGCAAUUUGUUGGCGCGUUAGACUCUUAAUUUAAAAAUGGGUGAUUUGAGCCCACCAAGGGAUGCGGUCCUUCCGUUUCUAGCGAUAUGGAAGACCUUCCUGGACUUACAGUAAGCUUGCUUUUGACCUGCUGUGUUUCCUGUUGUCACAUGUGAUUGGUGUGUUGUUGAACAUGAAAGAUGAC